Molecule: long non-coding RNA, 622 nt
Filed under: Mytilus galloprovincialis (Mediterranean mussel)
Lineage: Eukaryota; Metazoa; Mollusca; Bivalvia; Mytilida; Mytilidae
Source: RNAcentral
GUCCGGUUCCUGUUGCUCAUCCUUAUUUUCUGUGAAAUAUUUGAUAUUAUGGUUGGUCUCUCUGUCAUUUUUGAUCUCGCUUUUGAAGUUUAUGAGAUUCCUUCGUUAUUUGCUACCAUCAUAUUUACAACUACUGGGUCGAUGCCACUGCUGAUGGAGUUUUUAUUCCCCGAGGGUAUCACCAACCCCGUAUUUAGCACUUCUGUGUUGACAUGAACUAUCAUUGAUAUGAUCAUAGUUCACUGUUUACAGAACUUAAAUUUUUGAAAUACAAAGGCUCUUCUACAUCAGGAAUAGAUUACCUUAGCUGUAUUUGGCAUAACUUUUAGGCAUUUUUUGUCCUCAAUGCUCUUGAACCUCGUACUUUAUCAACUUUUUAACUUUUUUUUAUUUGAGCUACAUUAAUGAUUUAAUGUAGGAAGAUAUGGUAUGAGUGCCAAUGAGACAACUCUCCAUCCAAGUCUUUUGUAGACGAAUGCGCGGCUGGCGUAAAUACAAAGAUUUCAAUCCUAGUUUCUAUGAUGAGUUUAUUUGUCUCUUUCUAAUCGAUUUACGAGAUUUUAACAUCGGUUAACUACUGUCAACUUACUAUAUUUGAUUGAUAAUUUUGUAUCCCCCCUCC